This 2227-nucleotide long non-coding RNA is filed under the name Arabidopsis thaliana (thale cress). Its description in RNAcentral is "natural antisense transcript overlaps with AT5G45040 (AT5G06695)". The record is from RNAcentral. Lineage: Eukaryota; Viridiplantae; Streptophyta; Magnoliopsida; Brassicales; Brassicaceae.
UCCGAUUAUGGUUUUGAGAAAAAAAGAAAGAAAAAACAAAGUCUUCGUCGUCCACUCUCAAGCUCAACAAAGUUCUUGGGUCCUCCUCUCUAUUAUUACCACUUCUUCACCAAUCCUUUUCGAAGAGUUUUGUAUUCACGACAUGAGAAAGAUCCCAACACUACUGAUCGUUUUAGUAUAGGUUGGUGAUUGUGUAUCUUCAUUAGUAGAAGGUUAAAGAUGGAAGGAAAGAGAUUGGAUCUUAGAUUUCAUCACUCUACAUCAUCACAAUCUGUGGAAUCUGCUGCAUUGGAUUUGGAUAAAAAUGUUUACAAUCAUAUUAAAUUGGCGUCUUCAUCGCCGCUUCAACCGUUUCCAUCAGGCGCUCAGCAUCCUGAAACUAGUGCUGCUGCUGCUUACUUCUCUUGGCCUACUUCAAGUAGAUUGAAUGAUUCAGCGGAAGACAGAGCAAACUAUUUUGCAAAUCUUCAAAAAGGUGUUUUGCCUGAAAGUUUUGAUGGUUUACCUACUGGGAAGAAAGCUACUACAUUGCUUGAGUUGAUGAUGAUUAGAGCUUUUCAUAGUAAGAAUUUAAGGAGGUUUAGUCUCGGUACGGCUAUUGGAUUUCGGAUUCGACGAGGUGUUUUGACAAAUAUAGCGGCUAUUCUUGUUUUUGUUGCUCGGAAAGUUCACAAGCAAUGGCUUAAUCCUCUUCAGUGUUUACCUACAGCCUUGGAGGGUCCUGGAGGAGUUUGGUGUGAUGUAGAUGUUGUUGAGUUUCAAUAUUAUGGUGCACCUGCGCAAACACCUAAAGAGCAGGUGUAUACAGAGCUUGUUGAUGAUCUGAGAGGCAGUGGUUCGUCCAUAGGAUCUGGUUCACAGGUGGCUAGCCAAGAGACAUAUGGAACCUUAGGUGCAAUUGUAAAGAGUAAAACUGGUAUCAGACAGGUUGGUUUCCUAACAAACCGGCAUGUUGCAGUUGAUUUAGACUACCCAAGCCAGAAGAUGUUUCAUCCAUUGCCACCUAGCCUCGGACCCGGAGUCUACUUAGGUGCAGUGGAAAGAGCAACUUCAUUCAUUACCGAUGACCUUUGGUAUGGCAUUUUCGCUGGAACUAACCCAGAAACAUUUGUUCGAGCUGAUGGAGCCUUCAUUCCAUUUGCCGAGGACUUCAAUACGAACAAUGUAACCACAACUGUCAAAGGGAUUGGUGAGAUUGGUGAUAUCCAUGCUACUGAUCUACAGUCUCCAGUUAACAGUCUAAUAGGAAGAAAAGUUGUCAAAGUUGGAAGAAGCUCGGGUUUGACCACUGGGACCAUAAUGGCUUACGCGUUGGAAUACAAUGACGAGAAAGGAAUUUGUUUCCUAACCGAUUUUCUUGUUGUUGGUGAAAACCAGCAGACUUUUGAUCUUGAGGGUGAUAGUGGAAGCCUUAUUCUGUUGGCUGCGGGCGAUGAGAAGAACGAGAAACCGCGACCUGUUGGAAUCAUAUGGGGAGGAACAGCAAACAGGGGACGGUUGAAGCUAAAAGUGGGGGAACAACCUGAGAAUUGGACAAGUGGAGUUGAUCUUGGCAGAGUUCUUAAUCUUCUUGAGCUUGAUCUCAUUACUUCCAAUGAGGGUCUUCAAGCUGCGGUGCUGGAACAGAGAAACGGUAUUAUGUGUGCUGCGGUUGAUUCCACCGUCGUGGAAUCAUCUCCUGGUGUGUGCAAUAUUUCCAGGUGUAAAACGGGUGAGAACUUUGAGCCUAUUAACUUGAAUGUCCAGCAAGUUCUUAUAGAAGACGACAACUCAAACAUUCACCCAGAGUUCCAAAUAGAAGACGUGUUAGAAUCAGUGGCUGUGAUCGAAGAACACCAGUUCAUUCCAAGUUCAAGCAACAACGGAUCCGCACUUCAUCAGAAACCUAAUGGACCAGAGAAUCUCGAAUCCAAGAACCUGUCUUCGCUUAAGACUAGUAGCUCAGGUGAUGAGAUAGGCUUUUCUUUGCAGUUAGGUGAGUCAGAUACAAAGAAAAGAAAGCGAACUGAUUCACCAGAUGGUUCUCAAGAAGAUGAAGAGUGAGGGUUAUGCUCAUGAGACUUCAUAACAUACCAGAGGAGUCAAUAGUAACAUCACUAUUAUUUUUCCACUGCAUUUUUUCUCCAGAGGAAAGAUAUUCAGAAUAGCAUAUUUGUAAUGGCUAAUGCCAAGGGAUAGUCAAACGUUAUGAGCAUAUAUGUGUUGGUGAUUUUAUGAACACCUAUAA